RNAcentral lists this ribosomal RNA (460 nucleotides) under uncultured bacterium. RNAcentral describes it as "partial 16S ribosomal RNA". It matches the Rfam family "Bacterial small subunit ribosomal RNA", at positions 338 to 795 of the family's 1533-position model. The record is from RNAcentral.
CCUACGGGGUGCAGCAGUGAGGAAUAUUGGUCAAUGGGAGCGAGCCUGAACCAGCCAAGCAGCGUGAAGGAUGACUGCCCUACGGGUUGUAAACUUCUUUUAUAAAGGAAUAAAGUGCGGCACGUGUGCCUUUUUGUAUGUAUUUUAUGAAUAAGGAUCGGCUAACUCCGUGCCAGCAGCCGCGGUAAUACGGAGGAUCCGAGCGUUAUCCGGAUUUAUUGGGGUUAAAGGGAGCGUAGAUGGGUUGUUAAGUCAGUUGUGAAAGUUUGCGGCUCAACCGUAACAUUGCAGUUGAUACUGGCAGACUUGAGUACAGUUGAGGUAGGCGGAAUUCGCGGUGUAGCGGUGAAAUGCUUAGAUAUCACGAAGAACUCCGAUUGCGAAGGCAGCCUACUAAACUGCGACUGACAUUGAGGCUCGAAAGUGUGGGUAUCAAACAGGAUUAGAUACCCCUGUAGUC